Molecule: regulatory RNA element, 165 nt
Organism: Anaerosporobacter mobilis DSM 15930
Lineage: Bacteria; Bacillati; Bacillota; Clostridia; Lachnospirales; Lachnospiraceae
Source: Rfam
UAGUGUAGCACUUAAAGUACUUCUUAGUGUGUACUCAGAAGACAAGGAAGGUGAGGCACGGAGGCCGAACCAGCCUGAACUGAGGCAGGAUGCCGAAUUGAAGGCGAUUCCGUAUCAAUUGAUGAAUGUAGUGUACACACAUAGAAGUACUUAAGUGCGUAACGU